GUUUAAGUAAGUUAAAAUAAACUCCUGAAUUGUGGUUUCAGAAAUACAGAUACCUGUCUUAGACC
This 65-nucleotide transfer RNA is filed under the name Melaenis sp. YZ-2018. Its description in RNAcentral is "tRNA-His". The record is from RNAcentral. Lineage: Eukaryota; Metazoa; Annelida; Polychaeta; Phyllodocida; Polynoidae.